AGAUUCAGCAGCAUCAUGCAAAGAGCACAUCAGGAGCUAUUAUUUUAUUCUGCCCAUCACUGUGAUCUGUGAUGGUACUGCAUUCAUCAUGGUGACUGGAGUUCUCCUUGGAUGCAUCCUGAGAAAAACACAUUCCAGAGAAGAUACCGGGUCAGGAGUGUCUGGGUUAUCUGUUUGUGAACCCCCCUGCUCUUUGGACCCAGAUGACUCCUACACAAGCCUUCAGCUGCCAGCAAAUGAUCUCUAUCAAACUAUCUCCUCAGUGCAACAUCAACAUGACAUGAAGAGAAAUUCAGCCAGCAAGAUCAUAGUGACUGCACAUCGGGAUAAUCAGGAAACAGAUGGAAGAGAGACUGAUCCAAGUUGCAAAAUCUAUGAAAACAUUUAAUUAAUAACAGGAGUAAGACAAUCUGGAGUUUUAGCACUAAAAAAUGUUUCUGUUAAACCUGGUCUGCACAUGAGCAGAAGUGGGAACACUGCUGUGAGUUUGACACCAGUUGUGAGGUCCAGUGAUGACGAUAACUGGCAGAGGUCACCAAAAUCAAACACUAGAAAGUAAGAGUUAACUGGUAUGUAAAUGCUCAAAUCACAUUAUGUCUUACUGGAACUUAACAUCAGGCUACAAGCUGUGUUUUGCUGCCCUCUCUGGUUAAAGGUUUCAAGCUUGUUUCACCUCUGACCAAAGACAAUAUUUCAGGGGAUGUUAAGUCACCCUUUCAUUU
Micropterus salmoides (largemouth bass) is the source of this 722-nucleotide long non-coding RNA. RefSeq lists it as uncharacterized. The record is from RefSeq and is a predicted model, not a curated record. Lineage: Eukaryota; Metazoa; Chordata; Actinopteri; Centrarchiformes; Centrarchidae. The transcript has 3 exons.